UGGGGAAUUUUGGACAAUGGGCGAAAGCCUGAUCCAGCAAUGCCGCGUGUGUGAAGAAGGCCUUCGGGUUGUAAAGCACUUUUGUCCGGAAAGAAAUCCUUGGCUCUAAUACAGUCGGGGGAUGACGGUACCGGAAGAAUAAGCACCGGCUAACUACGUGCCAGCAGCCGCGGUAAUACGUAGGGUGCAAGCGUUAAUCGGAAUUACUGGGCGUAAAGCGUGCGCAGGCGGUUUGCUAAGACCGAUGUGAAAUCCCCGGGCUCAACCUGGGAACUGCAUUGGUGACUGGCAGGCUAGAGUAUGGCAGAGGGGGGUAGAAUUCCACGUNUAGCAGUGAAAUGCGUAGAGAUGUGGAGGAAUACCGAUGGCGAAGGCAGCCCCCUGGGCAAUACUGACGCUCAUGCACGAAAGCGUGGGGAGCAAACAGGAUUAGAUACCCUGGUAGUCCACGCCCUAAACGAUGUCAACUAGUUGUUGGGGAUCAUUUCCUUAGUAACGUAGCUAACGCGUGAAGUUGACCGCCUGGGGAGUACGGUCGCAAGAUUAAAACUUAAAUGAAUUGA
This 563-nucleotide ribosomal RNA is filed under the name uncultured bacterium. RNAcentral describes it as "partial 16S ribosomal RNA". It matches the Rfam family "Bacterial small subunit ribosomal RNA", at positions 355 to 913 of the family's 1533-position model. The record is from RNAcentral.